Antechinus flavipes (yellow-footed antechinus) is the source of this 1310-nucleotide long non-coding RNA. RefSeq lists it as uncharacterized. The transcript is spliced from 3 exons. NCBI's taxonomy places the organism in Eukaryota, Metazoa, Chordata, Mammalia, Dasyuromorphia, Dasyuridae. The record is from RefSeq and is a predicted model, not a curated record.
CAUAUAUAUAUAUAUAUAUGUAUGUAUAUAUAUAUGACUAUUUAGAGAGAUACAGAAAAAAAGAGAAAGUCCGGAACAUGUCCAAAUUUUGAAAGAGCAAACUUUUAAACUAAAUUAUACCUCUCUAAAAUAAGAAUACCAAUAUUACUUGUACUAAUCAGUAAGCCCCUGGAGAACAAAGAUUGAGUUUUAAUCACUUUUAUAUCUUUGCAAAACCUAUCAGAGCACUUUGCAUGCAGUAUGUGCUCCAUAAAUGCUUAUCUGAUUUGGCUUGUUAAUUUGCAAAGUCUGUAUAAUGUUAAAUUGGGGGAGUAUAGAAAGGAAGAGAUGGCUUCUUUGAUUUUUUUUUCAUGCAUCUUUAAUAUUUUAAUGAAUAGAGCAACUGGGAAUAUGCUUAAAUGCUUUAAGCAGUCUUAAUCUUUUGUGAUACCCAUCCAAGGGUAAAAAAUGCAAGUUUUUUACAUAUACAAAUUGAGUCAACUAAACUUCAAUCUUUGCUUUUAUAGAUGCAGAUGCAUAAGAAAACCUUGGGAAAAUCAGUAUCUGUCUGUUUUCUGUCUAGUUAAUUUUGUUCUUCCCAAAAGGUCCAUUAAGAUCCUUCGAAAUAGAAUCAGAACUUUAUGUCUUUUUUUUUUUUUUUUUUUUUUGGUAUACCUCACAAUGUUCAUUCUGAUCACCCGCCCAAUAGAACCUUGGACUCUGUCAUUGAGAGUCAGGUGCUGAUAGAUUUAAAUUCAUCUUUUCUGGAACCAGGCCUCCAUGCCUCUUCCUGACCAUUUCCACAUCAUGACAACAUUCAAGUAUCUCUUCCCUGCCCCACUCUCUUUUACAUGUAGUUUUCUUCCAUUGCCUGGUACAUGAGCAUGAGAAAUGACUUCUAAAUGAACAAGCUGGGAGAUAUAUAGUGUAAUGAAGACUACGUUGGGUUCAAUUACCAUCACAGUAUCAUAGAUUUAGCAUGAAUAGAAAGGUUAGUUGUUAUACACUAUUUUACAGAUAAUGAAACUGAGGCCUAAGGUAAGAAAUGACUGUUGCUGUUCGGUCAAUUCUGUUUUGUCCAACUCUUUGUGACCCCAUUUUGGGAUUUUUCUUGGCAAAGAUACAGUAGUAGCUUACCAUUUCCUUCUCCAACUCAUUUUACAGAUGAGAUAAUAGAAGCAAAUAGGGUUAAGUGACUUGUUCAUAGUCAUAUAGCUAGUAAAUAUCUGAGGCCAGAUUUGAACUCAAGAAGCAGAAUCUUCCUGACUCCAGACCUGGCCCUCUAGCCACCAUGAGAUCUAAAGGCUUAAGACAUGAAGUGCCCAAGAACU